RNAcentral lists this ribosomal RNA (253 nucleotides) under uncultured bacterium. RNAcentral describes it as "partial 16S ribosomal RNA". It matches the Rfam family "Bacterial small subunit ribosomal RNA", at positions 524 to 776 of the family's 1533-position model. The record is from RNAcentral.
GACGAAGGGGGCUAGCGUUGUUCGGAAUUACUGGGCGUAAAGCGUGUGUAGGUGGUUGUCCAAGUUGGAUGUGAAAGCCUUGAGCUCAACUCAAGAAAUGCAUUCAGGACUGGGCGGCUAGAGGACCGGAGAGGAUAGUGGAAUUCCCGGUGUAGUGGUGAAAUGCGUAGAUAUCGGGAGGAACACCAGUGGCGAAGGCGACUUCCUGGCCUGUUCUUGACGCUGAGGCGCGAAAGCUAGGGGAGCAAACGGG